Molecule: microRNA precursor, 111 nt
Organism: Caenorhabditis elegans
Lineage: Eukaryota; Metazoa; Nematoda; Chromadorea; Rhabditida; Rhabditidae
Source: Ensembl
UGACACUCCACCGUUUCUAAACCCCGCCCAAGAUUUCAUUUGCACUGAAAUGUGUCGGCCGCAGUGCAAAUGAAAUCGUGGGCGGGUCUCAGAAACAGCGGAGUGUCGUUG